Long non-coding RNA from Hylaeus volcanicus, 2207 nucleotides. RefSeq lists it as uncharacterized. The transcript is spliced from 4 exons. Lineage: Eukaryota; Metazoa; Arthropoda; Insecta; Hymenoptera; Colletidae. The record is from RefSeq and is a predicted model, not a curated record.
UAGGGCAUACGUUGAAGUCAAAAGUGUAUGCUGGAAAUUUGUAUUAACUCUCAAGUAAAACCUUCCAAUUUGUCUCAUUGCGAAGGAUGGAACACAUGGAAAUAUAAAAGACAUCCUGAACCAAGGGAGCUUCGGUAUCGAAGCUACCUGGCCCUGAAUAUGCAGGCUACAACGUUUGAAAGCCUCAAACCUUGCAAUUUGUAAAAUCGACGAAAGUGUGUACGUUAAGUUACUGAAUACGAUCAGAUAAUUCUUUCUCGUAAGAAACCAUUCAUGGCGGUCGGCGCACUUGUUACGAAGUUGCAGUAAGAAAGUCACGUGUCGGCGUGGGUGUCACGAUGUUGUCCUCGUAGCUGUUAUCGCGAAAACCUUGGGCAGCGGUCGCAUAGAGGGGCCCUAAGCUGGACGAUUUCCCAGGAUAUGGCGCCCUUCCGUCUAGGUCGUAAGGGUUCUGCGCUGUUGCAGUCACAGCUAGUGCCGUCAGACACAGCCAAUACAUCCUGCAAAAUACCAAACGCUUGAAUUGAAAUAUGGUUGAGGGGUACGUGACUAUAACUUACGGCGAGAAAAGGUCAGGCCUCUGAAAAUGAUGCAUAGCAAAACAAGAAUGUUCGAGCAAGCAGUCUGCGGUAUUUUCUCGCUGGCUGGAAUUACGUGCUCGAUGCACUUUCUCGCUCCAUGAUACGCAGACGAAAUAACAGAGAUUUGUGUACAUACAGACAUGUGCGAGGGAAAGCAACCUUGACUAUUGAUAUCUUCGCUAUAAAGCACCUAGGUUCACUCAAAGUGGAAAGUAAUGAUACUUGGCAGGAUUGAUGGUAAUCGCAGCUCGUCUUACAUGAAACUUUACGAUCAGCUUGAAACCGAUUAGUUAUUUUUAUUAUCCCGCGAAACCUAUCGCGUACGUUCGAUUAUGUCUAAUUUUCAUCGGAGAGAUGCUUGAUAUGACGCUUUAUAUUUGCACCUGACGCUUUCCCCCGGUCGUUCCAUUACUGCACAUUUGUACAAAGAGAUUUUAUUCAACGUUGUCGCAACCUGAAAAAGUCUUUCAACUGAAAGAAAGUAACCAACGUGAAAGAAAUAACGCGAAGACGUAAGAAAUCUUUAGGAAAGCGACACUUGAGUUUCAAAGAUUCCACUUGCAGCUGGUCGCGUGCGUUUAAUGUCGAUGACCUAGAAUAUUCGCGUGAAAGAGGGCUACGGAGAAAUGUGGUGAAACAGUAUAAUGGUAUUUCAAAUCGAGCGAAAUUGUACACACUCUCUCGUGCGCUGACUCAACCGACUAAUGCCCCUGUUAAUAUAUUCAGCUUCUUGUAAUUCCUCAUCCGAAAACCGGACCAAUUUGCACUGGCAUAAUUUAACCGAUAAACUGGUCGUAGAAGAGUAAAAUUACCCGAUCUGAUUAAGUGAAAUUACAUGUUUACGCGUAGAACGAAACUUUGGUAUGCACAACUGGUUUGACCUGUUCGACUAUAUCGGUAGAAAGCCAAAUAUUUAGUUCUGGGCGAUGCGCACAGGGAACUGGAAUUCAAUUCUUUAUUCCUUACACGAGUCGAUCAAAAUAUGAAUCUGAACAAACAUCCGCAGUCCAAAGAUGAGCGUACCUUUCUUUACCCAGUUUGUGUCGUUUAACUAGAAACACAAGUGUGUUCGCACCCGAAUCGACGACGUCCUAGUGGAAAGCACUUCGCUUUCUAGUGCGUAAAACAUGGACGGCGGUUUCACGAUCCGUUGAGGACAUCUCAUUCGUAACGGCGAUGAUGUAUCGCGGGAGAUCCGACGCUUUCGAUAAAUUUGAAAGGCUCGACUUACGAGAUCAGACCUCCCUGUAUCCCAGAUCUCUCGUUGAUAAAAAGAAACGGCCGUUGAGCGUGACAAACGCGAAAAAAGAGUAAAAGCGAGGCCUAGGACCCCGGCACUGACAAGCAGCGAAUCAUCGUGGACAAAUAAAGUUCGAUCUCCCGUCGAAACGAAGAAAGUACACUGGUUUUUUGGCUCGUCGCUUUCCCUUCUGGGAAGAGAGGUCAGACGGUCGAAAGUAUAGUCGCAUCCUGGAUUGUACGAGUUCAGGAUUUAGAGGCACACAAGACACCACCGGCCAAACCAGUACAACCCAAAGAGAAGCAAAAUAAAAAAAUAAGAAUAUCUGGCUGCAGAAUUUCAUGAAAAUCGUAGGAUGAUGGAUCUCGCCAGCUUCCAGCAUCGCG